This 1349-nucleotide unclassified non-coding RNA is filed under the name uncultured Neocallimastigales. Its description in RNAcentral is "partial contains internal transcribed spacer 1, 5.8S ribosomal RNA, internal transcribed spacer 2, and large subunit ribosomal RNA". The stretch from base 592 to 1349 matches the Rfam family "Eukaryotic large subunit ribosomal RNA", at positions 1 to 617 of the family's 3401-position model. Lineage: Eukaryota; Fungi; Neocallimastigomycota; Neocallimastigomycetes; Neocallimastigales. The record is from RNAcentral.
AAAAUAAUCCUACCCUUUGUGAAUUUUGUUUGUUUGAAUAAUUUUUUUUUUAAAAAAUUAUUGGAGUCUUUCCCUUUAGAGUUUGCUUUUGAGUUUGUAAAAGAAUUCGAAAACAUCUAAAGGGGAUGGUCAAUAAUUUUUUUUGAAAAAAGACAUUUUUUAAAAUUAAACUUUUUGUAUUCAUUUGUCUAAAAAUUAUUUUUAUAAUAUAAAAACAACUUUUGACAAUGGAUCUCUUGGUUCUCGCAACGAUGAAGAACGCAGCAAAAUGCGAUAAGUAGUGUGAAUUGCAGAAUACGUGAAUCAUCGAAUCUUUGAACGCAUAUUGCACUUUUUUAGUUUACUAAAAAAGUAUGUCUGUUUGAGUAUCAGUAAAAUGUUCUCAUAAAAAUCAUUGUAUUUUUAUGGUUAUGAGUGUUUACAACGAUACAAGUUGUUUCACUUUAAAUUUUUUUUUAAUAUUGAAAUUUUUCUAAUUUUAAUAAUUAAAAUUGGAUAAAAUUUUCCCGUCAAAAGGAAUAACCUAAACAAUUUUAAACGAUUAAUUUUAGCAAAAUUUCGAAAAAAAGGAAAAUUUUUAUUAAAAUAACUUGAUCUCAAAUCAGAUAAGAGUACCCGCUGAACUUAAGCAUAUCAAUAAGCGGAGGAAAAGAAACUAACAAGGAUUCCCUUAGUAACGGCGAGUGAAGCGGGAAGAGCUCAAAUUUGAAAUCUUCAAGGUUUUACCUUGACGAAUUGUAGUUUAAAGAAGUGUUUUCUGCUGAAGUUUUGGUAAAAGUUCUUUGGAAUAGGACAUCAUAGAGGGUGAGAAUCCCGUAUUUGACCAUUAUUUUCAGCUUUGUGAUACACUUUCAAAGAGUCGGAUUGUUUGGGAAUGCAGUCCAAAAUGGGUGGUAAAUUUCAUCUAAAGCUAAAUAUUGGCGAGAGACCGAUAGCGAACAAGUACCGUGAGGGAAAGAUGAAAAGAACUUUGAAAGAGAGUUAAACAGUACGUGAAAUUGUCAAAAGGGAAGCGUUUGACACCAGUGUUGUUUUCUCGAAAAUCAAUUAAAAAUGGCUCGAUUUUGUAUUGCUUGAGACCUUAAAAGCUCACUGUACAUUUUUCGUGUCUUUUUUAAUGCACUUUUCGUUUAACAAGUCAACAUCAGUUUCUUUUGUUGUAAAAGGGUCAUUGGAAGGUGGCUUUCUUUUCGGAGAAAGUGUUUAUAGCCUUUGGCCUCUGCAAUCGGAGAGACUGAGGUCUGCAGCGUAGACUCUUCGGGGUUAGAUACAUUUGUGCUAAGUUAUAGCUUUUUAUAGACAACUUGUUGACUAUAAUUAGUCUUGUAGCUUACUCGCUUAUGCUAUUU